ACCCCAAUAGCGGAAUGGCAGCUCGCUGGGACGUAUCUGACCAUGAGGCGCGAUAUGCGUGAGGGAGCAACAAGAGUAGAUACCUGCUAGUCACGCCGUAAACGAUGGUACUAGAUGUGGGAGGUGUCGACUCCUCCCGUAUCGUCGCUAACGCAGUAAGUACCCCGCCUGGGGAGUACGGCCGCAAGGCUAAACUCAAAGGAAUGACGGGGUCCCGCACAAGCAGCGGAGCAUGUGGUUUAAUUCGACGCAACGCGAAGAACCUUACCUGGGCUUGACAUGUAUGUGACCGCCAUAGAGAUAUGGCUUCCCUUCGGGGCACAUUCACAGGUGGUGCAUGGCUGUCGUCAGCCCGUGUCGUGAGAUGUUGGGUUAAGUCCCGCAACGAGCGCAACCCCCGUCCUAUGUUGCCAGCAUUCAGUUGGGGACUCAUAGGAGACUGCCGGUGACAAACCGGAGGAAGGUGGGGACGACGUCAAGUCAUCAUGCCCCUUAUGUCCAGGGCUACACACGUGCUACAUUGGCGCAUACAUAGGGUUGCAAUACCGUGAGGUGGAGCGAAUCCCAAAAAGUGCGUCUCGGUUCGGAUUGAAGGCUGAAACUCGCCUUCAUGAAGAUGGAGUUGCUAGUAAUCGCAGAUCAGCAAUGCUGCGGUGAAUACGUUCCCGGGCCUUGUACACACCGCCCGUCACACCACGAAAGCGAGCAACACCCGAAGCCAGUGGCCUAACCGCAAGGAGGGAGCUGUCGAAGGUGGGGUCCGUGAUUGGGGUGAAGUCGUAACAAGGUAACCGUAA
RNAcentral lists this ribosomal RNA (797 nucleotides) under uncultured Actinomycetes bacterium. RNAcentral describes it as "bacterial SSU rRNA". It matches the Rfam family "Bacterial small subunit ribosomal RNA", at positions 706 to 1505 of the family's 1533-position model. Lineage: Bacteria; Bacillati; Actinomycetota; Actinomycetes. The record is from RNAcentral.